Molecule: ribosomal RNA, 642 nt
Filed under: uncultured bacterium
Lineage: Bacteria
Description: bacterial SSU rRNA
Rfam family: Bacterial small subunit ribosomal RNA
Source: RNAcentral
GCGGCCUAUUAGCUAGUUGGUGGGGUAAUGGCCUACCAAGGCAGCGACGGGUAGCUGGUCUGAGAGGAUGAUCAGCCACACUGGAACUGGAACACGGUCCAGACUCCUACGGGAGGCAGCAGUGAGGAAUUUUGCGCAAUGGGGGAAACCCUGACGCAGCAACGCCGCGUGGGUGAAGAAGGCUUUCGGGUCGUAAAGCCCUGUCAGGUGGGAAGAACCGUUUCGAUACUAAUAAUGUCGAAGCCUGACGGUACCACCAGAGGAAGCACCGGCCAACUCCGUGCCAGCAGCCGCGGUAAUACGGAGGGUGCAAGCGUUGUUCGGAAUUAUUGGGCGUAAAGAGCGUGUAGGCGGUCCGGUAAGUCAGAUGUGAAAGCCCUGGGCUCGACCCAGGAAGUGCAUUUGAAACUACCAGACUUGAGUACGGGAGAGGAGGGGGGAAUUCCCGGUGUAGAGGUGAAAUUCGUAGAUAUCGGGAGGAAUACCAGUGGCGAAGGCGCCCCUCUGGACCGAUACUGACGCUGAGACGCGAAAGCGUGGGGAGCAAACAGGAUUAGAUACCCUGGUAGUCCACGCCGUAAACGAUGAGCACUAGGUGUAGCGUGUAUUGACCCCUGCUGUGCCGUAGCUAACGCAUUAAGU